Molecule: long non-coding RNA, 1960 nt
Organism: Capsicum annuum
Lineage: Eukaryota; Viridiplantae; Streptophyta; Magnoliopsida; Solanales; Solanaceae
Exons: 2
Source: RefSeq, a predicted model, not a curated record
AAUGUACUUUCGGGAAGCUACUAGGUGUGAAAAAGUUCCCUAGUCUCGAAGAAAAACAAAGACUAGCAAUGGGGGAACCAAAAUUCCCCUAAGUUUGCAUUCCAGUGCAUCUCUGCAAUAGGAGCGUACUACACUCCCUAUCCUCUGCGAUAAGGGUGUGGCACACUGGAGAUAAAAAUUCAGCCACACCCAUUACAGUAAGCCUCUGUGAUAAGGGUGUGGCACGGAGGGGGUAUUUCGGAUCAUUUUUCAUUAAAUAAUUGGGUCUAACCCAAUUUAAAUUCUUUUAAAAAAUUAAUCCGUCCUUUACAAACACAAAAUUCCCAAUUUCUUCUCAAUCUACAAGACCUAGCAUACCAUUCUCCUACAUCUCUUCCAAAUUGAAGAGUACUACGCCAGGCAUAUUAUCCUUCUAUAUCCCAACCGAGUUCUCCUUCUCUUCUUUGCAAGUUCGACUAAGGCACCAUAACAAGAAUAUCAUAAAAAGAUAAGGAUGUUGUUGUGCCUUUGGAGGCACCAAAAAAGAGAGUGUGGGCUAUUGCUUAUGUGACUAGAGCCUCGGGUGUCUCACUAGGUCAUUCUCGGUGGGUUUAAUAAGCAGAAAAUAAUGGUACAACAAACGCACUGAGUCCAAAUAUACCCCAGACAAGUUAAUUGACCGGGAGAGUUUGAGAAGAGAGUUCCCAGGCAUGGUUCAGAGAAUCGAGGAGAUAUGGAUAAACUUUAUUUUUUAGCAGCCCACAGAGUGCAACCUGUAGUUAAUCAGGGAAGUCUACGCAAAUUGGAAGCCUAGGCAGUCGGAUGAAGAGGUAAAUAUUCAACGACAUGUGGUUUACUUUGAUGCCCAUCACUUGAAUGUUCUACAAGGUACAUCUGAGUCAGAUUCUCUUCAUCUCAGAUAGCUGGAUAUCACUCCUCCCUAUGCCGACAUCAGAUAUUUAUUAUGUGGAAAUAGAUCAACGACUACAUGGAUUUACCACUGAGAAGGAGGUUAUCACAUGACAUUUCCCUAUGUAUAGAUAAACAGUGAAUCAUGAGUGCGGUUGAAAAUCAUUUGUCAUUGCCUCACUCCAGGGAAGCACAUGAUAGAGGUUACUCAGGAUUAGGUUUGCCUUUUGUUUAUGCCAUUAUGCAAGAGGGCUUUAAGUUAAUCUUUCCGCAGUGAUUAUAUCAAUAAUAAAGAAGACUCGAUAUCAUCAAGGACAUAGGUAUGGCUUCAGUGGGUUGCUAAAAUGGUUUUUGAAAGGCUAUGUUGUUGAGGAGAAAGCCUUGGACUACAUACCAUUGUUAGACACACGCAUAGUGGAUGUGACCCAAACACAGGAUCUUGACAUUGCUCAUAGGAUAAUGCUGACACUACCCAAGCGUCAUGCUCAGGAUGAUGAGAUCAUAGCCCACAUAUACGGACUACAGAUACUAUAGGUGAGAGUGGGAGCCCAGGUAGCCACUAGAGAGGAGAUACAUAGGGUGGAGCUUGACUACCCUCUUGGUCACCAUGCUAGGACUUUAUUGCAAAUUGGACCAGACUUCUUUGAGCUGAGAAUGGUGACAUUACGAUGGAUAAGGAUAGGUAGUUAUUGUAGGAUUCAAACAUUAUGUUUGAGGAUGACGAUGAUAUGGACCCAGAUUUAGGUAAUGAAUCCUUACACCCGGAUGUCGAUAAUGGCAUGGAUAAGGAGUGACCAGGGAGUUUUUACAUCACCUCAUAUUUUUGUUUUGUUUUGUAUUUGAAAGCGCUGGGGACAAUGCUACAUUUUAAGUAUGGGGUGGUGGAGAUUCUUAAUCUAUUAUCUAUUCUGGAUGGAUUGUUAUUAUUGAUGUUAUUCUGUUGGAUAUUAUCAUUAUUUUUAUUUGAUUCUUAUAAAGAAAUUCUAGUACAUUUGGUCUGUAAUAGUUAGUAAUUAUUAUUCUGAAUUCGAUUGUGUAGUAGUUAGUAAUAGUUUAAUCAUUUUAUUAUUCC